This 18-nucleotide microRNA is filed under the name Chiloscyllium plagiosum (whitespotted bambooshark). RNAcentral describes it as "microRNA PC-3p-982692_1". The record is from RNAcentral. Lineage: Eukaryota; Metazoa; Chordata; Chondrichthyes; Orectolobiformes; Hemiscylliidae.
UGUGUGUGUAGUGCUCUG